This 252-nucleotide ribosomal RNA is filed under the name uncultured bacterium. Its description in RNAcentral is "partial 16S ribosomal RNA". It matches the Rfam family "Bacterial small subunit ribosomal RNA", at positions 524 to 776 of the family's 1533-position model. The record is from RNAcentral.
UACGGAGGAUGCGAGCGUUAUCCGGAUUUAUUGGGUUUAAAGGGUGCGUAGGCGGAGUGCCAAGUCAGCGGUAAAAAUUCGGGGCUCAACCCCGUCGUGCCGUUGAAACUGGCGCCCUUGAGUGGGCGAGAAGUAUGCGGAAUGCGUGGUGUAGCGGUGAAAUGCAUAGAUAUCACGCAGAACCCCGAGUGCGAAGGCAGCAUACCGGCGCCCGACUGACGCUGAAGCACGAAAGCGUGGGUAUCGAACAGG